Non-coding RNA from Brachypodium distachyon (stiff brome), 136 nucleotides. The record is from Rfam. NCBI's taxonomy places the organism in Eukaryota, Viridiplantae, Streptophyta, Magnoliopsida, Poales, Poaceae.
CGUAUACUCGCUCCGUCCAACAAAAGAUGUCUCAACUUUGUCAAAAUUUGGAUGUAUCUAGACAUGACUUAGUGUAUAAAUGCAUUCAAAUCUAGUCGAAUUUGAGACAUUUUUUGUUGGACGAAGGAAGUAGUAU